UAUUAAAAAUUUCAUCCGUUUGUACUGUUAAAAAUUGUCAUGGUUGACGGAAUAACUAGAUAGUGACAUGUGACGUGUAACGUGUAACGUGUACCUUUUACUGACAUAUAGCUAUAGGGAUCAAUUUUUAACAAUAGAAAUGGAUUAAAACUUUCAACU
Molecule: microRNA precursor, 159 nt
Filed under: Gossypium arboreum
Lineage: Eukaryota; Viridiplantae; Streptophyta; Magnoliopsida; Malvales; Malvaceae
Description: MIR7502 microRNA precursor family
Rfam family: MIR7502 microRNA precursor family
Source: Rfam by way of RNAcentral